Molecule: ribosomal RNA, 526 nt
Filed under: uncultured Leptospira sp.
Lineage: Bacteria; Pseudomonadati; Spirochaetota; Leptospiria; Leptospirales; Leptospiraceae
Description: bacterial SSU rRNA
Rfam family: Bacterial small subunit ribosomal RNA
Source: RNAcentral
UAUCCUACGGGAGGCAGCAGUUAAGAAUCUUGUCAAUGGGGAAAGCCUGAAGCAGCGACGCCGCGUGAACGAUGAAGGUCUUCGGAUUGUAAAGUUCAGUAAGUAGGGACGAAAAAAAUGACGGUACCUACCUAAAGCACCGGCUAACUACGUGCCAGCAGCCGCGGUAAACGUAUGUGCAAGCGUUGUUCGGAAUCAUGGGGUAAAGGGUGUGUAGGCGGAUUAACAAGUCAGUGUGAGACCUUCGGGCUCAACUGAAGCCUGCACUGAACUGUAAUCUGGAAUUGGGAGAGGCAAGGGAAUUUCGUGAGCGGUGAAAUGGUAGUAUCGAAGAACACCGAUGGCGAAGGCAACCUGGCUAAGAUUGAGUGAAACAGAAAGCGUGGGUAGUGAACGGGAUUAAUACCCCGGUGAUCCACGCCCUAAACGUUGUCUCCAGUUGUUAAGGUAUAACUCCUUAGUAACGAACCUAACGGAUUAAGUAGCCGCCUGGGAUACCUGCAAGAGUGAAACUCAAAUGAUGAGG